RNAcentral lists this ribosomal RNA (484 nucleotides) under uncultured bacterium. RNAcentral describes it as "partial 16S ribosomal RNA". It matches the Rfam family "Bacterial small subunit ribosomal RNA", at positions 28 to 507 of the family's 1533-position model. The record is from RNAcentral.
AUUGAACGCUGGCGGCAUGCUUUACACAUGCAAGUCGAACGGCAGCGCGGGCUUCGGCCUGGCGGCGAGUGGCGAACGGGUGAGUAAUGCAUCGGAACGUGCCCGGUAGUGGGGGAUAGCCCGGCGAAAGCCGGAUUAAUACCGCAUACGACCUGAGGGUGAAAGCGGGGGACCGAAAGGCCUCGCGCUAUUGGAGCGGCCGAUGUCGGAUUAGCUAGUUGGUGGGGUAAAGGCUUACCAAGGCGACGAUCCGUAGCUGGUCUGAGAGGACGACCAGCCACACUGGGACUGAGACACGGCCCAGACUCCUACGGGAGGCAGCAGUGGGGAAUUUUGGACAAUGGGGGCAACCCUGAUCCAGUCAUGCCGCGUGCGGGAAGAAGGCCUUCGGGUUGUAAACCGCUUUUGUUCGGGAAGAAAUCCUCUGGGCUAAUACCCCGGGGGGAUGACGGUACCGGAAGAAUAAGCACCGGCUAACUACGUG